Molecule: transfer-messenger RNA, 353 nt
Filed under: Opitutales
Lineage: Bacteria; Pseudomonadati; Verrucomicrobiota; Opitutia
Also listed under: 2 other names
Description: Merdousia sp021641325 Standard tmRNA
Rfam family: transfer-messenger RNA
About the family: Bacterial tmRNA, also known as 10Sa RNA or SsrA, is named for its dual tRNA and mRNA-like properties.
Source: RNAcentral
GGGGGUGUUCCGGAAUUCGACUUAUGGUUGUAGGCCAUGCUUGCAUGUCGGAGAUGAUACUUGGCUCCGUAAAAAUGUAUCACACAAAACAAUAAAUGGCGAAGAAUACGCUAUUGCUGCUUAAUUAACGCGGCACGUCGGCCCGCCGACUCCCAAUAAGCGGAAUCCGGCGUCGACAUUGGGAACAGGGGUCGUUGGUACUUGUCCGGAUUAACGGCCGCCACAUUGCGGACAAUGCAUUCGGGACGGUAGCCGUAUCCCAAGCCCGAAUAAAGCACAAAGUACGGCUACACAUGUAGACAGUAUGCCCGAAGGCGAUAAGGACAGGGGUUCAACUCCCCUCACCUCCACCA